Molecule: non-coding RNA, 85 nt
Organism: Acanthosepion pharaonis
Lineage: Eukaryota; Metazoa; Mollusca; Cephalopoda; Sepiida; Sepiidae
Source: the annotation of a GenBank genome assembly
GUUGAAACACCGGUUCACGUACGAUCAGCGAAGUUAAGCAACGUCGGACCUGAUCAGUUCCUAGAUGGGUGACCACUUGGGAUAU